AUUGAACGCUGGCGGCAGGCUUAACACAUGCAAGUCGAGCGGGGUGAUGGUGCUUGCACUAUCACUUAGCGGCGGACGGGUGAGUAAUGCUUAGGAAUCUGCCUAUUAGUGGGGGACAACAUCUCGAAAGGGAUGCUAAUACCGCAUACGUCCUACGGGAGAAAGCAGGGGAUCACUUGUGACCUUGCGCUAAUAGAUGAGCCUAAGUCGGAUUAGCUAGUUGGUGGGGUAAAGGCCUACCAAGGCGACGAUCUGUAGCGGGUCUGAGAGGGUGAUCCGCCACACGGGGACUGAGACACGGCCCAGACUCCUACGGGAGGUAGCAGUGGGGAAUAUUGGACAAUGGGGGGAACCCUGAUCCAGCCAUGCCGCGUGUGUGAAGAAGGCCUUAUGGUUGUAAAGCACUUUAAGCGAGGAGGAGGCUCUUUUGGUUAAUACCCAAGAUGAGUGGACGUUACUCGCAGAAUAAGCACCGGCUAACUCUGUGCCAGCCGCCGCCGUAA
This 503-nucleotide ribosomal RNA is filed under the name uncultured bacterium. RNAcentral describes it as "partial 16S ribosomal RNA". It matches the Rfam family "Bacterial small subunit ribosomal RNA", at positions 30 to 523 of the family's 1533-position model. The record is from RNAcentral.